UCAGCCGCCGCGGUAAAACCAGCACCUCGAGUGGUCAGGAGGUUUAUUGGGCCUAAAGCAUCCGUAGCCGGUUGUUUAAGUUUUCGGUUAAAUCUAUGCGCUUAACGUAUAGGCUGCCGAAAAUACUGGACAGCUAGGGAGUGGGAGAGGUACACGGUACUCAAUAGGAAGGGGUAAAAUCCUUUGAUCUGUUGAUGACCACCUGUGGCGAAGGCGGUGUACCAGAACACGUUCGACGGUGAGGGAUGAAAGCUGGGGGAGCAAACCGGAUUAGAUACCCGGGUAGUCCCAGCUGUAAACGAUGCAAACUCGGUGAUGCAUUGGCUUGUGGCCAAUGCAGUGCCGCAGGGAAGCCGUUAAGUUUGCCGCCUGGGAAGUACGUAUGCAAGUAUGAAACUUAAAGGAAUUGGCGGGGGAGCACA
RNAcentral lists this ribosomal RNA (422 nucleotides) under uncultured archaeon. RNAcentral's name for it is "bacterial SSU rRNA". It matches the Rfam family "Archaeal small subunit ribosomal RNA", at positions 458 to 880 of the family's 1478-position model. The record is from RNAcentral.